This is a long non-coding RNA of Salvator merianae (Argentine black and white tegu), 1659 nucleotides long. The record is from Ensembl. NCBI's taxonomy places the organism in Eukaryota, Metazoa, Chordata, Lepidosauria, Squamata, Teiidae.
GGCGGAAACAAAAGCCCGAGCGAGCAGAGGUAGCAGGAUUGGGCCCGUAGGUGCAUACAGUAAUUCGUGCCUGUUUGUUCGCGCCUGCCAGUCCGAAAGGGAGGAGGAGCCGGGGGGGGCACCUGAAGAGGAUUCUCCUCCUCUUCGUGGGGGCUUGCAUUGGGGAGUAGAGCCUGCGCCGGGCGGCGUUGCAAGGGGGAGCGGCCCCUUCGUCCGCGCACUCUCGCGUGCAUCCAUCCGCGCCCCCUCCCGCCUGGCGCCCCGGACGAGGCUGUUUUGCGGGGGGAGGGGGCUUCGCGCCGGGCCGGGCAGCACUUCCCCGGGGCCCCAUUGGAGGUCGCCUCGCCAGGACGCACGCAGAAGGCAUCGGGGGUCCGCGGUGCGGAGGAGGGGCUGGCGGAGCCCGGCACUUCGGGCUGCACGGGAGGAGAAGCCGCUGGACGGAUGGCGGCGGCCUGGCAGGCUGGAAGAUGGCUCGCAGGGCUGAAGCAGAUGCGACCGUCAUCACGUCCGUCCUGUGGGCGGCUGCUGAGCUCCUGGGCGGCUGCGAUUCCGUAAGUAGCUUGAGCUGCUGCCUCCUCCCCACCUGCCCAGCAACAGGUCCACUGCUUCCCUUCUGGACCUUUGGCAGCCCUUGGAGACGUGGAUUCUUACAGUAGUAACCUAUCCACACACACACCCCAUCACAGGUCUCCUGGGGUGGCAGGAAACGGGCAGACAGCACUGCCCACCUGUUGCAGACUUGGAGCCCGGCUGCUUGGGAGAGAGCAGGCGUGGGAGCUGGUGACUGCGUGCCAGCCGGACUGCUCCAGCCUGGGCUUCCGGAGGAGUAGGGGCAGUCUGAAGGAAAUCCCUGNCUGCUUGGGCCACAGGAGACCUCGCGGUGGCCUGGCACUGCUCGUUCUCCUGUGUGGCAUAGCCGGUGCUCACCAGAGUGACGAGAACAGGAAAGCUGUGCAAGCAGGACAUGGCGAGCAGUGUUUACCGUUUGCGCUCCCGGCUUGGGGGUUCUGCUCCCGUGCCAAAGAAUCCUAGAGAGGCAUCUUCUCUGUCAUGGUUGUUGAGCUCUUUCGGGGCUGGGGGGUCAUAAAGGAAUCUGCCUGUGGGUAGUCAAUUUCGUGAGAGUCAGAUCCUCUAUUCAGACUUCGUGCAAUUCUAGAAGUUUGCUUGUCUUCAGAACGACGCCAUCUUUCCAUUUUUCAAUAUUAUGUCGGCUUCUGGUGCUGAGUCAGACCUUCAAACCUCCUCCUCCUGUUCUGGCCCUUUGGCUCUCCUCUCUAGCCAAGCGGGGUCUUUCACACCCCACUUUUAAGAUGCUUUUCAGGCGUCUGGACCACUAAACAAACCCAAGACCUUUGGAGCAGCACUGGCAAUCCCUGUCCCUUUUGCAAGGCGUCCCUGCUAGNGAAGGGGUCGUUUCCUUUGGGAAUUUUGACUCUCCUCCUUCACUGUUUUGUGCGGGACUCGCCCAAGUCUCUUGGUACGGGUGCUUGUUGAGAAUUUGUAAUCCCAUCCACACUGGUGCCCCUCGCUCUCUUUCUGUCUUCGUUGCCAUCCCAGGGUUUGGAAAGUGGCUUUUCCGCAUGCAGGCCAAAACAGUUGAUCCGCUGCCCCAUGCUGGCCUUAACCAGCUCCCUCCUGGUGGGGCUCUUCGUGUGG